UGGGGGAUAUUGCACAAUGGGCGCAAGCCUGAUGCAGCGACGCCGCGUGGGGGAUGAAGGCCUUUGGGUUGUAAACUUCUUUUGCUCUGAACAAGGCGCACUUUGGGGUGUGUUGAGUGUAGGGGUUGAUUAGCGCCGGCUAACUACGUGCCAGCAGCCGCGGUAAUACGUAGGGCGCGAGCGUUGUCCGGAAUUAUUGGGCGUAAAGGGCUUGUAGGUGGCUGGUUGCGUCUGUCGUGAAAGCUCAUGGCUUAACUGUGGGUUUGCGGUGGGUACGGGCUGGCUUGAGUGCAGUAGGGGAGGCUGGAAUUCCUGGUGUAGCGGUGGAAUGCGCAGAUAUCAGGAGGAAUACAGGUGGCGAAGGCGGGUCUCUGGGCUGUUACUGACACUGAGGAGCGAAAGCAUGGGGAGCGAACAGG
This 419-nucleotide ribosomal RNA is filed under the name bacterium. RNAcentral describes it as "partial 16S ribosomal RNA". It matches the Rfam family "Bacterial small subunit ribosomal RNA", at positions 355 to 776 of the family's 1533-position model. The record is from RNAcentral.